AGACAGUCUCAGUUCGGAUUGAAGGCUGAAAUCCGCCUUCAUGAAGCCGGAAUUGCUAGUAAUGGCAGGUCAGCAUACUGCCGUGAAUACGUUCCCGGGCCUUGUACACACCGCCCGUCACACCAUGAGAGUUGGGGAUACCCGAAGCCUGUGAGCUAACUUUUAGAGGCAGCAGUCGAAGGUAGAAUCAAUGAUUGGGGUGAAGUCGUAACAAGGUACC
RNAcentral lists this ribosomal RNA (220 nucleotides) under uncultured bacterium. RNAcentral's name for it is "partial 16S ribosomal RNA". It matches the Rfam family "Bacterial small subunit ribosomal RNA", at positions 1280 to 1500 of the family's 1533-position model. The record is from RNAcentral.